AAGAAAUGCUAGAGGUGCCGUAAGGCUGAGAGGGAUAUGUAUCCUAACUCUUAUAACCUGAUAUGGAUAAUACCAGCGUAGGGAAGCAGAUUACUUAAUAU
RNAcentral lists this non-coding RNA (101 nucleotides) under Clostridium cylindrosporum. RNAcentral describes it as "TPP sequence". It matches the Rfam family "TPP riboswitch aptamer (THI element)". Rfam says of the family: Vitamin B(1) in its active form thiamin pyrophosphate (TPP) is an essential coenzyme that is synthesised by coupling of pyrimidine and thiazole moieties in bacteria. The previously detected thiamin-regulatory element, thi box was extended, resulting in a new, highly conserved RNA secondary structure, the THI element, which is widely distributed in eubacteria and also occurs in some archaea. Lineage: Bacteria; Bacillati; Bacillota; Clostridia; Eubacteriales; Clostridiaceae. RNAcentral also lists the same sequence under 1 other name. The record is from RNAcentral.